UCGUUGUUUCGAGAUGACGGCUCGGUGCAACCAAGGGUCGGCUCAAUUAGAGUCGAAGCCGAACUUAGCUUAGAUUGCUACUCGGGAGAAAGGAAUGACGGCUUAGAGGGAGGGAGAUAGCAGCUCCAAAAGUCGUGUAUUUUGGCUUUUGCUAAAUUUUCUUGGGCAGAAUUCUGGAACUUUUUUGGUUGAUUCAGGAAUGAACUUUUUUUCUU
Molecule: long non-coding RNA, 215 nt
Filed under: Erythranthe guttata (spotted monkey flower)
Lineage: Eukaryota; Viridiplantae; Streptophyta; Magnoliopsida; Lamiales; Phrymaceae
Description: long non-coding RNA (EGUT_LNC002596)
Source: RNAcentral